GGGGGAAUAUUGCACAAUGGGGGAAACCCUGAUGCAGCGACGCCGCGUGAGCGAAGAAGUAUUUCGGUAUGUAAAGCUCUAUCAGCAGGGAAGAUAAUGACAGUACCUGACUAAGAAGCCCCGGCUAACUACGUGCCAGCAGCCGCGGUAAUACGUAGGGGGCAAGCGUUAUCCGGAUUUACUGGGUGUAAAGGGAGCGUAGACGGAACGGCAAGUUUGAAGUGAAAUACCCGGGCUUAACCCGGGAACUGCUUUGAAAACUGUCGAUCUAGAGUGUCGGAGAGGUAAGUGGAAUUCCUGGUGUAGUAGUGAAAUGCGUAGAUAUCAGGAAGAACACCGGAGGCGAAGGCGGCUUACUGGACGAUAACUGACGUUGAGGCUCGAAAGCGUGGGGAGCAAACAGGAUUAGAUACCCUGGUAGU
RNAcentral lists this ribosomal RNA (422 nucleotides) under uncultured Oribacterium sp. RNAcentral describes it as "bacterial SSU rRNA". It matches the Rfam family "Bacterial small subunit ribosomal RNA", at positions 355 to 794 of the family's 1533-position model. The record is from RNAcentral. Lineage: Bacteria; Bacillati; Bacillota; Clostridia; Lachnospirales; Lachnospiraceae.